ACGCACGCUGGCGGCGUGCUUAACACCUGCAAGUCGAACGGAAAGGCCCUGCUUUUGUGGGGUGCUCGAGUGGCGAACGGGUGAGUAACACGUGAGUAACCUGCCCUUGACUUUGGGAUAACUUCAGGAAACUGGGGCUAAUACCGGAUAGGAGCUCCUGCUGCAUGGUGGGGGUUGGAAAGUUUCGGCGGUUGGGGAUGGACUCGCGGCUUAUCAGCUUGUUGGUGGGGUAGUGGCUUACCAAGGCUUUGACGGGUAGCCGGCCUGAGAGGGUGACCGGCCACAUUGGGACUGAGAUACGGCCCAGACUCCUACGGGAGGCAGCAGUGGGGAAUAUUGCACAAUGGGCGGAAGCCUGAUGCAGCAACGCCGCGUGCGGGAUGAAGGCCUUCGGGUUGUAAACCGCUUUCGCCUGUGACGAAGCGUGAGUGACGGUAAUGGGUAAAGAAGCACCGGCUAACUACGUG
Molecule: ribosomal RNA, 467 nt
Filed under: uncultured bacterium
Lineage: Bacteria
Description: partial 16S ribosomal RNA
Rfam family: Bacterial small subunit ribosomal RNA
Source: RNAcentral